CCCCAAAAACCCCAAGGUGGGACGGGGCUCCCCAAAGGGCUCCCAUAGGAGCUGUGGUAAAUGACUAAUGUCCCCUUUAAAAAAGGAGAGGGCAGGGCUGGUGCCAGCCGCCGCCCUAAAACCAGCUCUUCAAGUGGUCGGGAUAAUUAUUGGGCUUAAAGUGUCCGUAGCUGGUAAGGUAAGUUCCUGGUAAAAUGGGGCAGCUUAACUGUCUUUAUGCUAGGAAUACUGCUUUACUAGAGGGCGGGAGAAGUUUGAGGUACUACAGGGGUAGGGGUGAAAUCUUAUAAUCCUUGUAGGACCACCAGUGGCGAAAGCGUCAGACUGGAACGCGCCUGACAGUGAGGGACGAAAGCCAGGGGAGCGAACCGGAUUAGAUACCCGGGUAGUCCUGGCCGUAAACGAUGCACACUAGAUGAUGGUGCGGCCAUGAGCCGUAUCAGUGUCGUAGGGAAACCGUUAAGUGUGCCGCCUGGGAAGUACGGUCGCAAGGCUUAAACUUAAAGGAAUUGGCGGGGGA
RNAcentral lists this ribosomal RNA (520 nucleotides) under uncultured archaeon. Its description in RNAcentral is "bacterial SSU rRNA". It matches the Rfam family "Archaeal small subunit ribosomal RNA", at positions 343 to 875 of the family's 1478-position model. The record is from RNAcentral.